UACGAAGGUGGCAAGCGUUACUCGGAAUUACUAGGCGUAAAGGGCAGGUAGGUGGUUCGAUAAGUCUGUUGUGAAAGCUCCCGGCUCAACUGGGAGAGGCCAACAGAAACUAUCGGGCUUGAGUAUGGGAGAGGUUACUGGAAUUCCCGGUGUAGCGGUGAAAUGCGCAGAGAUCGGGAGGAACACCAAUGGCGAAAGCAGGUAACUGGACCAUUACUGACACUCAACUGCGAAAGCUAGGGGAG
Molecule: ribosomal RNA, 245 nt
Filed under: uncultured bacterium
Lineage: Bacteria
Description: partial 16S ribosomal RNA
Rfam family: Bacterial small subunit ribosomal RNA
Source: RNAcentral